AGUAAAUGGCUGCAUAAACCUGAGUGUACUAAGGUAGCGCUAUAAUUUGCCCUUUAAAUGGGGGCUGGUAUGAACGGGUUCACGUGAGAGUUGCUGUGUCACAAAAAUUGAAAUUAACUUUUAGGUGAAGAGGCCUAAUUAAAAUUAAAGGACGACAAGACCCUAGAAGCUUUACUUAAUUUGUUUUAGUUUUGUUGGGGCAACAUAGUUAGAAAAUAUAGCACUCACAAGUCAAAACCACAUUGGUGAAUAAGAGCUACUCUAGGGAUAACAGCGUUAUUUUUUUUAAUAGUACGUAUUGUAAAAAAAGUUUGCGACCUCGAUGUUGGACUAAGGUGUCCUUAAGGCGCAGAAGCCUUAAAGGGUUGGCCUGUUCGUCCAUUAAAACCUUACA
Molecule: ribosomal RNA, 394 nt
Filed under: Idas sp. N JL-2009
Lineage: Eukaryota; Metazoa; Mollusca; Bivalvia; Mytilida; Modiolidae
Description: partial 16S ribosomal RNA
Rfam family: Bacterial large subunit ribosomal RNA
Source: RNAcentral